UCUCCGUUGAUGAACCAGCGGAGGGAUCAUUACAGGACUCGCAAGACUCCUACAACCCUGUGAACUUAACUAUAAGCACGUUGCUUCGGCGGGUGUCUCGGAGGGGGUUCUCCCUCCCCGAGACGCUAAACCCGCCGGCAGCCUACUAUACUCUGUCUCUUUGCGUUGGCAUCUCGAGUACAAUCAAACAAGUUAAAACUUUCAACAACGGAUCUCUUGGUUCUG
Molecule: unclassified non-coding RNA, 225 nt
Filed under: plant metagenome
Description: partial contains small subunit ribosomal RNA, internal transcribed spacer 1, and 5.8S ribosomal RNA
Source: RNAcentral